UUUUUUUUUUUUUUUUUUUUUUUUUGGCAGCACCUGGGCAUGUGGAAGUCCUGGGCCAGGCAGCAAACCUGUGCCACAGCAGUGACCUGAGCUGCUGCAGUGACAACGUUAGAUCCUUAGCCCGCUGCACCAUAAGGGAACUCCAAAGAAAAUAAUCUUGAUCUCUUCCUAACUGUUGGCAGCUAAUGCCACCUCUGACUCAAGGGGUACAGUUCUAAUUUUCUGCCUCUCCAUUUAAACUCCUAGGUCAUAACAUCGUGCAGCUAUUCCUGAAACACCCCCUGUGUGCCAGGCUCUGUGCUAGAUACUUUAACUGCCUUUUAAACGAUGAAAAUAUUGCUGUUAUCCUGGUUUUGCAGCAGAGGUUCAAUAAGCUCCCCAAGGUCACCGAACCUAUUUGCGGGAAGAUGAGGUUCCAUUCUAGGUGUAACUGAUCCUAAAGUCCAGUGACAACAAAGAUUCUUUAUGAACACCCAGGUUUACUAACAUAAAAAUCAUACCGGAAGUCCUGAAAACUGAGAGCGAGUGCUGAAAACACUCCACAGGGCAGAGUUUCUGUGCUGCGAUGCCCCAGACCACACACCAGGAGAGGCACCAGCAGGGAGGCCGAGCACCUGAGCCCUGAGGAGCAUUUCCAAAGGCAGGGCAGAACCAGGGCUAUCUGGCGCCCUCCUGUGGACAGUGUUAGGUGACGCGACAAAGAAGCUUAACCAUCUAACAGUGAUUCAACAAACAGCUGAAAUACAGGCACAAAGAAUGCAAUGAGACAUUUCAGCCAAGGACAGCAGACUAGCUGGUUAACCUGGUCAACCAGUUAGUCCCCAAUUAGGUACACAUAUUGCUGUUUAUUGCACAUUUUAAGAAUAUGUAUUAAUAUAAUGAAAAUGAAAUUCAAAAUGUGAAGAAUCUCUGAAGUACCUGGGAUAAAACCUGAGAACCAGAAUUUGGCUCCUUUAUUUAUUUAUUUAUUUACUUGCUUUUUAGAGCCGCACCCGCGGCAUAUGGAAGUUCCCAGGCUAGGGGUCAAACUGCCAGCCAAGGGUCCAAGCCACGACUGUGACCUACACCACAGCUCACAGCAAUGCCAGAUCCUUGACCCACUGAGCGAGGCCAGGACUCGAUCCCACAUCCUCAUGGAUACUAGUCGUACUCAUUUUCACUACACCACAGCAGGAACUCCCCGCCUCCUUUAAACAAAAAGGCCUUCGAUCACUUAUUGCCCAGUGUUUUACCUGUGGCUCAUGAAAUUUUGAGGUGUAUAUAAUAAAGGUAAAAGAUACUGAUGCAAGAAACAUAAGUUAACAGUAUUUUAGAUCAGAAAGAAAAAUACAGACAUACCUUGUUUUCCUGGGCUUUGCUUUCCAGCACGUGGCAGAUAUUUCAUUUUUUACAAACUGAAGGUAGGUGGGGACUCUCCACUGAACAAGCCUACGAGAGCUCACUUUGUCUCCGCUCAUUUGGGUACUUCUUAUGAUAUUGCAAACGUUUCCUUAUUAUUAUAUUGGUUAUACUGAUUUGUGAUCAGUGAUAUUUGAUGUUACUACUACAACUCCCUGAAGACUCAGAUGAUGGUUGGCAUUUAUUAGCAAUGAAGUAUUUUUAAAUUAAAGUAGGAGACACAAUGUUUUUUGCACACUUAACGGACUACAAUAUAAUGAAAACAUAACUUUUGUAUGCACUGGGAAUCCAAAAAAAUUGUGUGACUCCCUUUAUUUCGAUUUUAGCUUUAUUUUGGUGGUUUGUAACUCAGCUCUCAACAUCUGUGAAGUAUUCCUGGAUCAGCCACUUGAUUUUACCAACAAACUAAUAACUAUAUUAGAGAGACUUUAAUUCAUUAUUCAUUCUUCAUGCACACAUGGAUAUAUUUUUCACUCAUUUUAUUUAGGGACCAUAUAAACAAGAUGACACCUAAGUCAAUUUCAAGAGGAAAUCAACAUAAUGCAUACUUUUCUUUACGCUAUAAAUGAUUUUAAGGUUGUCAUAGAGCAGUUAUCUUUUUUUUUUUUCUUUUUUUAGGGCUGCACUCGGGACAAUAUGGAGGUUCCCAGGCUAGGGGACUAACCGGAGCUACAGCUGCCAGUCUACACCACAGCCACAGAAAUGCCAGAUCCUUAACCCCCUGAGCAAGGCUAGGGAUGGAAACUGCAACCGCAUGGUUCCUGGUGGGAUUCAUUUCUGCUGCGCCACGAUGGAAACUCCCAGUUAUCUUCUGUUUUUAAUAAACUAAAAUGUCACUGAUAAUUAAACACCUUAGUUCUUCUUUUUUUUUUUAAAUCAUUUAAACUUCCAAGAACAGCAGACACAUUUCCAGGUUCCUAUCUUUCCUGCAUGAUAGAUGGAAAUGUAACACACACAUUUAUGACUCAUCUACUUUGUUGUAUUCGCAACAUCACUGCACUGAUGUUCAUUGUGUUAACACGGCUAAGCAGCAUUCUCCAAACUCUGGUUUCUUACUACAUUUCUUUAGCAUUUUAUGUUUUGUUCUCUGAAAAUUCCUAGACUCCUUGCAUCCGAGGUUACUGUUUUCAAUACCUGAACUGGAUGGAAUCAAUGACUCAUGACGGAGGAGAAAGCAACUUUCAGUUUCUCGGGUUCACAAAUUUCCCCUGAUGUAGAAACCACUGCCAGAAGCACCCCUGGUGUUGCCAUUCUCAACUCUACAGACCCUGCUGCCUUCUAGCCCUUGAUCGUCUCUCCGAACCCUUUCCCUUGCAUCCCUCUUUUCCUUAAAUGGCUUCUGUGCACGCUCCAGUGAUACUCUUUUCCCGACUUAUGAUGGUUCUCCUUUCUUCGUGGCAGGAGAGCUUGUGGUUUAAAAUGCAGCCCCUGGGAAUAAAUCGGUCUAGACUUGCAUUUAGCGUCUACCACACUCUCUAACUCUACGACCUGGAAACAUUCCUUCAAUCUCGCUUUGCUUCAUUUUCUCACUUGAAAACAGACACAAUAAUAGCACUCACCUUACAUUACUGGGACAACGACACGAUUUAAUACAUCUAAAAGAAGAAUAUUGGCAUAUGCUCACUGUUUGGUAAUUAGAUUGAUUAUUAUUGUUAUUAUUCUUCUUCUUCUCACGUAUUCCUUCUCACAUAAUCAAGAAGUUUAUUUUUAUCCACCAAUUCAAACUUCUGUAAUCCCCAAGUAAGAGAGGCCUCAUGUGUCCUAUGCAUGAUAUAAAUAAAAGAAUACCAAUCUUAAGAGGAAAAAAAAAAAACUUAAAAGGAAUUCUGCCUUUUACUUAGAUUUUUGAAAAACCACUGGAGGAUUUGGGUUUACAAAAUGGAAUAUGUUAUUGCUGCCGAGAAAAAUAUCUUAAAACUCCUUCCUCUCCGGCUCUACCAUUCCCAGGGUCAUCCCUACAGAUGGAAAUGCUCCCAUGAACCUUGUCUCUUUACCACGGAACUCUUUCAAUCUGCAAAAUUCCUUGAGCCUAAACUACAAAGGUGUUCAUUCCACCAGUCCUGCCCUCCCCCCUUUUUUUACGUCUUGUGUUCCUUCUGUUUAUCUAGUUGUUCUCAAACAAAGGAGAAACUUGGAAAUACACAGACAUGCUUUAAAAAUACCUAUGUGUUAGACCAACCCCAGACAUCCUGAAGUAAUUGGUCACGGGCGUUACCCAGGAAUUGCUAUUUUUCAAAGUUCCCUGGGUGAUCCCAAUGCCCAGCCAGGGUGAGGAGCCACUGGUCAUCCUUUCUCCAGCGUGAAUCUUCCAGAUUCUCCCUUUCUCCCCGUGCCGAAGCUCAUGACGAAGUCCAGGAGCUGGAAGUGAGAAAGCUCAAGGUACAAGUGUCCACGGCCAGAAACUCCAUCAGGGAGAAUGCGACGAGAAAGGCCUCUAGAUACUUAUUUGUGAUUCCUGUCACUGCUUUCCUUCUCUCCUCUGCUCCCGGAGCACUUUCUUUCUUCCCGUAUCUCUGUCACCUCCUUCCAUGGGCUGUGGCCCUCACGCAAGCAUUUAUUAGCUGAAGUAUUGUUUGGAUUUCUGUGGGGAACCUUAUCCUGGCCGCCUCGUGGGUAAAGGGACCCGCAUUUAUAAUGAUGCUCAGCUUUCUUCAGGCAAUAUGAAAAACCGACGUGUACGUUUUGAGAAGCAGCUGAUGUGCAAGGCUGAACACUCUGUACGGGGUGAGGCCGGGAUCAUGACUCACUGUCUUCCAUUUAUUAUCCAUGUGACCUCGGAUGUCGUAUGUAAAACAGGGCUGAUGACAUUUUAUCUACGAUACCACUGCAUGGCAGAGGUAAAUUAAACCAUCGCUUCCUGUCUUUUUCAGUCUUAUUAUGUACUACUUUGUGUCUUCCAUAAUAAUUUACUGCAAACUUAGAUUGGCAUUUACAGUAAAUUCACAGACUUGAAUUUGCAUCAGGUAAACUUUAAAAAAAAAAAAAAUCUCUUCUGCACAGGGUUGCAAUUCUGUAAUUUUUUAACACAUUUUUUGAGGAGAAUAUGGACACCAAAUGGAAUUCUAUGUUAUUUUGGUUGCUAAGCACUCAGAGCACGGCCAGCCUGGGGAGUCAGGGAAAUGGCAUGACGUUCUAGAAACAUCUGUGCCAUGUCUGUGUCCUGCUGCCACCAUGCCCCUCCUGCUACCUCCAAUCUUCAUACCCUUCCUCGUGCUCUAGGAAGUGUUAGGCACACAUGGUUUUACUAAACGUCUUUGCUCAAAUGCCACCUCCUUCAACAGGACGCCUGUGACCGGCUUCCUAAAACAAAGGUUCCUUCCACCCUCUACCUCCUUCGCCAAUUUCGCUUUUCUUGGGAGACCUGGUGACACCUGACUUAGCCUGCAGGGUCGCCUAAGCCUUCCUCCCCUAGGAAGAGCAGGCUCAGUCUUCCACCACUGAGAGCUCCUGCAUGCCAACAUUCAUGCAGCACCCGGUGCAUAAUAAACCCUCUCUUGGAUAGAAAAAUAGUUUUAAAUUGGAAAGGUAACUACUAGAGUUCCCGUGGUGGCUCAGUGGUAACAGUAUCCACGAGGAUGUGGGUUCCAUCCCUGGCCCAGCUCAGGGGGUUCAGGAUCUGGCAUUGCUGUGGCUGUAGUAUAGGCCGGCAGCUGUCGCUCUGAUUGGACCCUAGCCUGGGAACUUCCAUAUGCCAUGGUGUGGCAUUUCUCUUAAAAUACAGAAAAAUAAAAAAUAAAAUAAUAAAUAAAAAUGUAACUAUCAUUCUGAUAGUCUGAGUGUCUGCCUUUCAUUUGAAGCAGAGGAACCGAGGCCCCGAGAUGUAAAAUGACUUCCCGCUUCAGCUGGAAGAGCCAGUGCUCCUGGGACUGCGGCAGGUUGUCACCUACAGCCCUCAACCCCAUGCUCCACCAGAGUGCCUGUUUGUAUCUCUUCGUGGAGACCUGAUCCCAUGAGCUAUGCAAGCACGUCUAAAAAGGAUUCAGUUCUGAAAAAUAAUAUGUAUUGGGGGGAAAUUUUAGCUAAAAAAAAAAUCCCUGAACAAAAAUGAAAAUUAAUCUAAUUAAAUGUCUGUGAGAUGUAGCAUGUCAACUACUCAUUCGGCUCCUUGUUCAACUGCUCCUCAACACGAGUCUUAUUUUUCAGAGAGAAACUAAACCGAGCUGGGGAUGUGAGUACAUUAAAAUACGUUUGAUAUGAGGAAGGGUGGAGAGAUUUCUGAAAGUGAAAAUGCCUAAAACCACUCUUGCCUGUUAAGAUAUUCAAAGGAUGGGAGAAUAACAGCUAUUGCUAGAUAUUAUAUCAAAACAACUGUGAAGAACGUUUUCUGAGGCUUUUGGAGGAAAGUUAUCACAAUCCGAUAGCAUGGACUUCUAAAUCCUGGUAUAAAUCUUUUUACAGAAAAAAAGAAAUUUUUUUCUAGCAAAAUCCUCCUGUGAACUAACUGGGCAAAUAGCAGUGAUCAUUAGCAGAUGACAAAAUCACGUUCACGAGCUCAG
This 5894-nucleotide long non-coding RNA is filed under the name Sus scrofa (pig). Its description in RNAcentral is "lncRNA (ENSSSCG00055001822.1)". Lineage: Eukaryota; Metazoa; Chordata; Mammalia; Artiodactyla; Suidae. The record is from RNAcentral.